AGUCCUACGGGGGGCAGCAGUGGGGGAUAUUGCACAAUGGGGGAAACCCUGAUGCAGUGACGCCGCGUAUAGGAAGAAGGUUUUCGGAUUGUAAACUAUUGUCGUUAGGGAAGAAAAAAGACAGUACCUAAGGAGGAAGCUCCGGCUAACUACGUGCCAGCAGCCGCGGUAAUACGUAGGGAGCAAGCGUUAUCCGGAAUUAUUGGGUGUAAAGGGUGCGUAGACGGGAGUCUAAGUUAGUUGUGAAAUCCCUCGGCUCAACUGAGGAACUGCAACUAAAACUGGACAUAUUGAGUGCAGGAGAG
Molecule: ribosomal RNA, 305 nt
Filed under: uncultured bacterium
Lineage: Bacteria
Description: bacterial SSU rRNA
Rfam family: Bacterial small subunit ribosomal RNA
Source: RNAcentral